Gasterosteus aculeatus aculeatus (three-spined stickleback) is the source of this 439-nucleotide long non-coding RNA. Lineage: Eukaryota; Metazoa; Chordata; Actinopteri; Perciformes; Gasterosteidae. The record is from Ensembl.
UGACUGCAGGUUUUUGCAGACACUCUGCACUCUUUGGUGUGGCGCAAAAUUGUGUUCCAUAGCGCAGGUGCUGAGGGCCUCACUCGUGAACCCUUUUUGGUGAAGGUGUCCCCUCGUGUGUAGUGUCUUAUUCACUCCCUUUUUGCUUUACCCUUGUGUGUGUUUUGGAGUGUUAAAGAGUGGAUUGUGGUGCUCCAAUUUUAAGUUUAUACCUUCACCCCCCCCCCCCCCCACCCUCUCACCUUCAGCACGAAGGCCCCAGCCCUGGAAAAACACGACGUCCGGUGUGGUAGGGCAGCCGCCUGUUGAAUCCGGUUUUCCUUUGGGUUAAAUGCCCUGGACAACACCCACCAUUUACACUUUACCCUCAUGCACAUCCUACACUACUGAUAAUACUGACAUUUGCAUCCCAUCUGGAAUGGUUAUGGUUUUUCGUUGU